RNAcentral lists this ribosomal RNA (440 nucleotides) under uncultured bacterium. RNAcentral's name for it is "partial 16S ribosomal RNA". It matches the Rfam family "Bacterial small subunit ribosomal RNA", at positions 338 to 795 of the family's 1533-position model. The record is from RNAcentral.
CCUACGGGAGGCUGCAGUGGGGGAUAUUGCACAAUGGGGGCAACCCUGAUGCAGCGACGCCGCGUGGGUGAAGAAGCGCCUCGGCGCGUAAAGCCCUGUCAGCGGGGAAGAAAAUGACGGUACCUGAAGAAGAAGCCCCGGCUAACUACGGGCCAGCAGCCGCGGUAAUACGUAGGGGGCAAGCGUUAUCCGGGUUUACGGGGUGUAAAGGGGGCGGAGACGGCGCUGCAAGCCAGGAGUGAAAGCCCGGGGCCCAACCCCGGGACUGCACUUGGAACUGGGUGGCUAGAGUGCAGGAGGGGCAGGCGGAAUUCCUGGUGUAGCGGUGAAAUGCGUAGAUAUCAGGAGGAACACCGGUGGCGAAGGCGGCCUGCUGGACGGCAACUGACGUUGAGGCCCGAAAGCGUGGGGAGCAAACAGGAUUAGAUACCCGGGUAGUC